RNAcentral lists this ribosomal RNA (492 nucleotides) under uncultured bacterium. RNAcentral's name for it is "partial 16S ribosomal RNA". It matches the Rfam family "Bacterial small subunit ribosomal RNA", at positions 29 to 507 of the family's 1533-position model. The record is from RNAcentral.
AGUGAACGCUGGCGGUAUGCCUAACACAUGCAAGUCGAACGGCAGCACAGUAAGAGCUUGCUCUUACGGGUGGCGAGUGGCGGACGGGUGAGGAAUACAUCGGAAUCUACUUUUUCGUGGGUGAUAACGUAGGGACACUUACGCUAAUACCUCAUACUACCUACGGUUUAAAUCAGGGGAUCUUCGGACCUUUCGCUAUUGAAUGAGCCGGUGUCGGAUUAGCUAGUUGGCGGGGUAAAGGCCCACCAAGGCGACGAUCCGUAGCUGGUCUGAGAGGAUGAUCAGCCACACUGGAACUGAGACACGGUCCAGACUCCUACGGGAGGCAGCAGUGGGGAAUAUUGGACAAUGGGCGAAAGCCUGAUCCAGCAAUACCGCGUGGGUGAAGAAGGCCUUCGGGUUGUAAAGCCCUUUUGUUGGGAAAGAAAAGCAGCAGGUUAAUACCCCGCUGUUCUGACGGUACCCAAAGAAUAAGCACCGGCUAACUUCGUG